CGUAGUCGAAAGGGAAUGAGGUUAAUAUUCCUCAAGCUGGAUGUGGGUGUUGUAUGGCAACAUAAGUGAACUCGGAGACGUCAGCAUGAGCCUCUGGAAGAGUUAUCUUUUCUUUUUAACAGGUUAGUGACCUUGAAAUUGGAUUAACCAGAGCUAAGGUGGCAUGCCUGGAAGAGCACCUUGCUUUUUGAGGUGUCAGGUGCGCUCAUGAUGGCCCGUGAAAAUCCGAGUGAGAUAAUUUCACACCAGGUCGUACCCA
This 259-nucleotide ribosomal RNA is filed under the name uncultured eukaryote. RNAcentral's name for it is "partial Eukaryotic large subunit ribosomal RNA". It matches the Rfam family "Eukaryotic large subunit ribosomal RNA", at positions 1589 to 1850 of the family's 3401-position model. The record is from RNAcentral.